CAGUAGCCGCGGGAAUACGGAGGGAGCUAGCGUUGUUCGGAAUUACUGGGCGUAAAGCGCGCGUAGGCGGUUACUCAAGUCAGAGGUGAAAGCCCGGGGCUCAACCCCGGAACUGCCUUUGAAACUAGGUGACUAGAAUCUUGGAGAGGCGGGUGGAAUUCCGAGUGUAGAGGUGAAAUUCGUAGAUAUUCGGAAGAACACCAGUGGCGAAGGCGGCCCGCUGGACAAGUAUUGACGCCGAGGUGCGAAAGCGUGGGGAGCAAACAGGAUUAGAUACCCCCGUAGUCCCUGUCUCUUAUAC
Molecule: ribosomal RNA, 301 nt
Filed under: uncultured bacterium
Lineage: Bacteria
Description: partial 16S ribosomal RNA
Rfam family: Bacterial small subunit ribosomal RNA
Source: RNAcentral